GACGAACGCUGGCGGCGUGCCUAACACAUGCAAGUCGAACGAAGCAUAGUAAUAUGCUUAGUGGCGGACGGGUGAGUAACGCGUGAACAAUCUGCCCUGUACAAAGGAAUAGCCUCGGGAAACUGGGAUUAAAACCAUAUAACACUUUAGUACCGCAUGGUACAGAAGUCAAAUUGAUUAAGAGGUAUAGGAUGAGUUCGCGUCUGAUUAGCUAGUUGGUAAGGUAACGGCUUACCAAGGCGACGAUCAGUAGCCGGCCUGAGAGGGUGAACGGCCACACUGGAACUGAGACACGGUCCAGACUCCUACGGGAGGCAGCAGUGGGGAAUAUUGCACAAUGGAGGAAACUCUGAUGCAGCGACGCCGCGUGAGUGAAGAAGGUCUUCGGAUCGUAAACUACUGUCC
This 405-nucleotide ribosomal RNA is filed under the name uncultured bacterium. Its description in RNAcentral is "bacterial SSU rRNA". It matches the Rfam family "Bacterial small subunit ribosomal RNA", at positions 28 to 438 of the family's 1533-position model. The record is from RNAcentral.